This is a non-coding RNA of Leptonychotes weddellii (Weddell seal), 753 nucleotides long. NCBI's taxonomy places the organism in Eukaryota, Metazoa, Chordata, Mammalia, Carnivora, Phocidae. The record is from RefSeq and is a predicted model, not a curated record.
AGCACUCAGAGGCCGUGCCCCGGUCCCAGCUCCUCCCAGCUCCUCCCAGCUCCGGGGGACGGGGGUGCCUCCGGCAGAGCAUUUCCCACUCUCUCUGUGCUUCAGUUUCCUUAUCUGUAAAAUGGGGAGGAGAAGCAUUAAUACUUUGGGCCCCUGGCCGGGCACAGGCAGUCAUCCAUUUGUGUGUGUGUGUCUGUGCGAGGUUCUGACUGGGGAGCCACACAGUCCACCCUAGGGACAGAGAGAGCCCAAGUCCAUGCCACUUGGUUAGAGAGCUGUCCCGGUGCGACACUGUGUGGCCCCGGCCCAGUGUCUUUCCUUCUCUGGGUUUGUGUCCUCAUUUGGUGCGUAGGGCGGAGCUCCUCUGCCCUGCACAACUCUGGGGGCCCAGGAGAGGGGCCAGCUCCAGCCGAGGGGCGUGCCAGAACGGAAGCCCCCUGAGGGCACAGCUCUUUUGCAGCUGGGUGUGGGAGCCCAGGAGAGAGCUGCAAAGGGCCUGGGGCCCACUCAGCCACCACGCCCUGUGCUUCUCCCCCAGUUCCCGAUGGGUCCAGGCUCAGACGGCCCGAUGGGAGGCAUGGGCGGCAUGGAGCCGCACCACAUGAACGGAUCGUUAGGGUCAGGUGACAUAGAUGGACUUCCAAAAAAUUCUCCGAACAACAUAAGUGGCAUUAGCAACCCUCCAGGCACCCCUCGGGACGACGGUGAGCUAGGAGGGAACUUCCUGCACUCCUUCCAGAACGACAAUGUAAG